Molecule: transfer RNA, 75 nt
Filed under: Tepidimicrobium sp.
Lineage: Bacteria; Bacillati; Bacillota; Tissierellia; Tissierellales; Tepidimicrobiaceae
Description: tRNA-Gln
Rfam family: tRNA
About the family: Transfer RNA (tRNA) molecules are approximately 80 nucleotides in length. Their secondary structure includes four short double-helical elements and three loops (D, anti-codon, and T loops).
Source: RNAcentral
UCCGGGGUAGUGUAGUUGGUAGCACACGAGGCUUUGGACCUUGUAGCGUAGGUUCGAGCCCUACCCCCGGAGCCA